RNAcentral lists this transfer RNA (72 nucleotides) under Stegodyphus mimosarum. It matches the Rfam family "tRNA". Rfam says of the family: Transfer RNA (tRNA) molecules are approximately 80 nucleotides in length. Lineage: Eukaryota; Metazoa; Arthropoda; Arachnida; Araneae; Eresidae. The record is from Rfam by way of RNAcentral.
GCCUUUGUGCUGUAAGGUCAGUAUGCUCGGCCUGUAUUCAAGAGGUCCGAGGUUCAAGUCCCUGCAAGGGCA